UACGUAGGGUGCAAGCGUUGUCCGGAAUUAUUGGGCGUAAAGAGCUCGUAGGCGGUCUGUCGCGUCUGCUGUGAAAACUCAGGGCUUAACCCUGAGCUUGCAGUGGGUACGGGCAGACUAGAGUGCGGUAGGGGAGACUGGAAUUCCUGGUGUAGCGGUGAAAUGCGCAGAUAUCAGGAGGAACACCCAUGGCGAAGGCAGCUAACUGGGCAUUAUCUGACGCUGAGGCGCGAAAGCGUGGGUAGCAAACAGG
Molecule: ribosomal RNA, 253 nt
Filed under: uncultured bacterium
Lineage: Bacteria
Description: partial 16S ribosomal RNA
Rfam family: Bacterial small subunit ribosomal RNA
Source: RNAcentral